GAACCACAUUUUUCCUCCAUUGACCGCACUGUGUUGAGUGACUGAUUGUCUUUCAGCCAAUGCAGCUCUGACAGCAAUUCAAUGACGUCAGGGCUAUGCUGUGAUUGGUUACCAAGGCACACGUGAGCCAAGCGGAGCGCGGAGGUUGGUGUCUCCCCAUAUAAAGAACAGCUCUCUGAACUAGUCUGGAGAUUAGUUCAGUUCAUUUCGUACGACGGAGGGACAGAAGGUCAGAUUACUUGUUUUUCGUCUCACUUCUCCAUCAGCAGUUUAGAAUGGUAAGCCCGAGAGUGAUAAAAUUGAGGAAAAACUUGUUCAUCAUUAAAUCUGACGGACAAGUGAACUCUUGUUGUCGACUAAUUCAGGUAAAUGUAACCUAUCUGCUGACAAAAGUGUAUGUAUUAUUAAAUUUGACUUUUGAUUGUAUUUAUUUAUUUAAAAGAACUGGAACGUUAUUGUAAGUUUACGUUUUGUAUAUUUCGUAUGUAUGUAUUUUACUCUAACUUACUAAAGAAACGUGAGCACGUGGUGUCCUCCUGUGCACGUAUGCGGCAUGGCUUACCUCAUUCACCGUGAAAUUAUAUUCAAGAGUUUUUCAUAAAUCCUCAUGUUUAUUAAAUUAUAAUACAUCAGUGACAUUGUUUUUGUCCCUCUUUUAGGCUUAUUUGCUGUUGUAGUGGACUUUGUGGCCAGUGACUUUAGGGAGAGAAGGUGAAUUGGAAGAGGCGGAGGUUUGUAUGUUCAUUGUAAUGGCUGUGUGUAUUACAGAUGUACUUGUAUAACUUUAUACUGUACUGUGAUAUUUUAUGUGAAUGUAACAAAAAUGAUCAAUCCUGUUUGUGUCUGUAAACAAUAAACAAAAUAAACGUC
Cyprinus carpio (common carp) is the source of this 870-nucleotide long non-coding RNA. RefSeq lists it as uncharacterized. The transcript has 2 exons. The record is from RefSeq and is a predicted model, not a curated record. Lineage: Eukaryota; Metazoa; Chordata; Actinopteri; Cypriniformes; Cyprinidae.